RNAcentral lists this ribosomal RNA (1118 nucleotides) under Listeria monocytogenes. RNAcentral's name for it is "partial 23S ribosomal RNA". It matches the Rfam family "Bacterial large subunit ribosomal RNA", at positions 82 to 1195 of the family's 2925-position model. Lineage: Bacteria; Bacillati; Bacillota; Bacilli; Caryophanales; Listeriaceae. The record is from RNAcentral.
GGAGCUGUACGUAAGCGUUGAUCCAGAGAUUUCCGAAUGGGGGAACCCACUAUCUUUAGUCGGAUAGUAUCCUUACGUGAAUACAUAGCGUGAGGAAGGCAGACCCAGGGAACUGAAACAUCUAAGUACCUGGAGGAAGAGAAAGAAAAAUCGAUUUCCUGAGUAGCGGCGAGCGAAACGGAAAGAGCCCAAACCAAGAAGCUUGCUUCUUGGGGUUGUAGGACACUCUAUACGGAGUUACAAAAGAAAGUUAUAAAUGAAGCGGUCUGGAAAGGCCCGCCAAAGACGGUAACAGCCCGGUAGUUGAAAUGGCUUUCCCUCCAGAGUGGAUCCUGAGUACGGCGGAACACGUGAAAUUCCGUCGGAAUCCGGGAGGACCAUCUCCCAAGGCUAAAUACUCCCUAGUGACCGAUAGUGAACCAGUACCGUGAGGGAAAGGUGAAAAGCACCCCGGAAGGGGAGUGAAACAGUUCCUGAAACCGUGUGCCUACAAGUAGUUAGAGCCCGUUAAUGGGUGAUAGCGUGCCUUUUGUAGAAUGAACCGGCGAGUUACGAUUUGUUGCAAGGUUAAGCGGAAAAAGCGGAGCCGUAGCGAAAGCGAGUCUGAAUAGGGCGCAUAAGUAACAGGUCGUAGACCCGAAACCAGGUGAUCUACCCAUGUCCAGGAUGAAGGUAAGGUAAUACUUACUGGAGGUCCGAACCCACGCACGUUGAAAAGUGCGGGGAUGAGGUGUGGGUAGCGGAGAAAUUCCAAUCGAACUUGGAGAUAGCUGGUUCUCUCCGAAAUAGCUUUAGGGCUAGCCUCGAGGUAAAGAGUCAUGGAGGUAGAGCACUGUUUGGACUAGGGGCCCUUCUCGGGUUACCGAAUUCAGAUAAACUCCGAAUGCCAUGUACUUAUACUCGGGAGUCAGACUGCGAGUGAUAAGAUCCGUAGUCGAAAGGGAAACAGCCCAGACCACCAGUUAAGGUCCCCAAAUAUAUGUUAAGUGGAAAAGGAUGUGGGGUUGCUUAGACAACCAGGAUGUUGGCUUAGAAGCAGCCACCAUUGAAAGAGUGCGUAAUAGCUCACUGGUCGAGUGACCCCGCGCCGAAAAUGUACCGGGGCUAAACAUAUUACC